This 71-nucleotide transfer RNA is filed under the name Microcaldota archaeon. RNAcentral describes it as "tRNA-Ala". It matches the Rfam family "tRNA". From Rfam's summary of the family: Transfer RNA (tRNA) molecules are approximately 80 nucleotides in length. Their secondary structure includes four short double-helical elements and three loops (D, anti-codon, and T loops). Lineage: Archaea; Nanobdellati; Microcaldota. The record is from RNAcentral.
GGGCUCGUAGUCUAAUGGUAUGACUCGGCCUUCGCAAGGCCGUGAUGCGGGUUCGAUUCCCGCCGAGUCCA